GUUGGGAGUGGUGGUGUACUCCUGUAAUCCAACUACUCGGAGGUUGAGUAUGGAGGAUACUUUAAGGGUUGGGAGUUUCGGGAUUGGAUUUCCCACGUUGACUAGGCGUCCGCUAGGGGUUAAGCUUCGACUUGAAUGCCUUGGGAAGGCCGAGGUACUCAGGUUGAGUCUGAAAAAUCGCCCCAAAAGUCACCGAGUUGAGAGUCGUGGGUUCAGAUCCUGGCGUUGGGGAUGCGCCGACCCUUGUUCGAGGGGUUGAAACUGGGUACUU
RNAcentral lists this non-coding RNA (271 nucleotides) under Pediculus humanus corporis (human body louse). Lineage: Eukaryota; Metazoa; Arthropoda; Insecta; Psocodea; Pediculidae. The record is from RNAcentral.